UUUCAGGCUUGGUCAAGCGCGAUACAAACCAUGUAGUAGGAGUCCCCCAAGUCGCCGAGCUAGGGGAUCUGCUGAAAAAGGUGACAGACAAGGUAAGCAAUCAGAGCUCCAAGCAAUCAGUCCCAGAUCAGAAGUUUUGAUUUCGAGUUCCGGCUGAUUGUUAUCCUUCUCCUUAUCUUGCAGGUAGCAUGAAGGAUAAAGAGAAGAAAAGGAGAAAAUGUGAUAUGAGAUACUUUUGCUUUUGAAGAAGUAACUUUCCACAGGCUUAUUCUUGAACUGGGCUGGAGGGUUUUCUUGUUUCCACCAGAGUAUAAGGCCGAC
This 321-nucleotide long non-coding RNA is filed under the name Malus domestica (apple). RNAcentral's name for it is "long non-coding RNA (MDOM_LNC000906)". The record is from RNAcentral. Lineage: Eukaryota; Viridiplantae; Streptophyta; Magnoliopsida; Rosales; Rosaceae.